UACAGAGGUCCCAAGCGUUAAUCGGAAUUACUGGGCGUAAAGCGUGCGUAGACGGUUAUUUAAGUCGGAUGUGAAAGCCCCGGGCUCAACCUGGGAAUUGCAUUCGAGACUGAAUAGCUAGGGUGCGGUAGAGGGAAGCGGAAUUUCCGGUGUAGCGGUGAAAUGCGUAGAUAUCGGAAGGAACAUCAGUGGCGAAAGCGGCUUCCUGGACCAGCACCGACGUUCAGGCACGAAAGCGUGGGGAGCAAACAGG
Molecule: ribosomal RNA, 253 nt
Filed under: uncultured bacterium
Lineage: Bacteria
Description: partial 16S ribosomal RNA
Rfam family: Bacterial small subunit ribosomal RNA
Source: RNAcentral